Molecule: ribosomal RNA, 1155 nt
Filed under: uncultured bacterium
Lineage: Bacteria
Description: bacterial SSU rRNA
Rfam family: Bacterial small subunit ribosomal RNA
Source: RNAcentral
AUUCGAUUAGAGUUUGAUCAUGGCUCAGGACGAACGCUGGCGGCGUGCUUAGCACAUGCAAGUCGAACGGAAAGGCCCUGCUUUUGUGGGGUGCUCGAGUGGCGAACGGGUGAGUAACACGUGAGUAACCUGCCCUUGACUUUGGGAUAACUUCAGGAAACUGGGGCUAAUACCGGAUAGGAGCUCCUGCUGCAUGGUGGGGGUUGGAAAGUUUCGGCGGUUGGGGAUGGACUCGCGGCUUAUCAGCUUGUUGGUGGGGUAGUGGCUUACCAAGGCUUUGACGGGUAGCCGGCCUGAGAGGGUGACCGGCCACAUUGGGACUGAGAUACGGCCCAGACUCCUACGGGAGGCAGCAGUGGGGAAUAUUGCACAAUGGGCGGAAGCCUGAUGCAGCAACGCCGCGUGCGGGAUGACGGCCUUCGGGUUGUAAACCGCUUUCGCCUGUGACGAAGCGUGAGUGACGGUAAUGGGUAAAGAAGCACCGGCUAACUACGUGCCAGCAGCCGCGGUGAUACGUAGGGUGCGAGCGUUGUCCGGAUUUAUUGGGCGUAAAGGGCUCGUAGGUGGUUGAUCGCGUCGGAAGUGUAAUCUUGGGGCUUAACCCUGAGCGUGCUUUCGAUACGGGUUGACUUGAGGAAGGUAGGGGAGAAUGGAAUUCCUGGUGGAGCGGUGGAAUGCGCAGAUAUCAGGAGGAACACCAGUGGCGAAGGCGGUUCUCUGGGCCUUUCCUGACGCUGAGGAGCGAAAGCGUGGGGAGCGAACAGGCUUAGAUACCCUGGUAGUCCACGCUGUAAACGGUGGGUACUAGGUGUGGGGUCCAUUCCACGGGUUCCGUGCCGUAGCUAACGCUUUAAGUACCCCGCCUGGGGAGUACGGCCGCAAGGCUAAAACUCAAAGGAAUUGACGGGGCCCCGCACAAGCGGCGGAGCAUGCGGAUUAAUUCGAUGCAACGCGUAGAACCUUACCUGGGUUUGACAUGGAUCGGGAGUGCUCAGAGAUGGGUGUGCCUCUUUUGGGGUCGGUUCACAGGUGGUGCAUGGCUGUCGUCAGCUCGUGUCGUGAGAUGUUGGGUUAAGUCCCGCAACGAGCGCAACCCUUGUUCACUGUUGCCAGCACGUUAUGGUGGGGACUCAGUGGAGACCGCCGGGGUCAACU